Molecule: transfer RNA, 77 nt
Filed under: Bacillota bacterium
Lineage: Bacteria; Bacillati; Bacillota
Description: tRNA-Arg
Rfam family: tRNA
About the family: Transfer RNA (tRNA) molecules are approximately 80 nucleotides in length. Their secondary structure includes four short double-helical elements and three loops (D, anti-codon, and T loops).
Source: RNAcentral
GCGCCCGUAGCUCAGUUGGAUAGAGCACUGGAUUGCGGAUCCAGCGGUCAGGUGUUCGAGUCACCUCGGGCGCGCCA